AGAGUUUGAUCAUGGCUCAGAUUGAACGCUGGCGGCAUGCUUUACACGUGCAAGUCGAACGGCAGCACAGGGAGCUUGCUCCCGGGUGGCGAGUGGCGCACGGGUGAGUAAUAUAUCGGAACGUGUCCUGUUGUGGGGGAUAACUGCUCGAAAGGGUGGCUAAUACCGCAUGAGACCUGAGGGUGAAGGCGGGGAUCGCAAGACCUCGCGCAAUUGGAGCGGCCGAUGCCCGAUUAGCUAGUUGGUGAGGUAAAGGCUCACCAAGGCGACGAUCGGUAGCUGGUCUGAGAGGACGACCAGCCACACUGGGACUGAGACACGGCCCAGACUCCUACGGGAGCA
This 342-nucleotide ribosomal RNA is filed under the name uncultured bacterium. RNAcentral describes it as "bacterial SSU rRNA". It matches the Rfam family "Bacterial small subunit ribosomal RNA", at positions 8 to 349 of the family's 1533-position model. The record is from RNAcentral.